CGAUGAGGUAGAGGUUGCGGUUGUUAAGAGUACAUUCGCGGAGGCUGGAAGAAGCCAAUGAUCCGAAUGGGAAGGAAUAACCGCCGAAGUUCGCGUAACCCGCUUCCGGGACGCGUGCUGGGGUCGCUGUCGAAUAGGCACGACACUGUCAUACGCAGAUUACCCGUCUACGUAUGAUGCGCUAUCUUUAAG
This 192-nucleotide non-coding RNA is filed under the name Paenibacillus alvei. RNAcentral describes it as "Lysine". It matches the Rfam family "Lysine riboswitch aptamer". From Rfam's summary of the family: Riboswitches are metabolite binding domains within certain messenger RNAs that serve as precision sensors for their corresponding targets. Allosteric rearrangement of mRNA structure is mediated by ligand binding, and this results in modulation of gene expression. Lineage: Bacteria; Bacillati; Bacillota; Bacilli; Caryophanales; Paenibacillaceae. The record is from RNAcentral.